AGUGGUCCUUGGUUCAGGAGGUGUUGGGCAGUCUGCUCUGAUGGUUCAGUUUGUUCAGGGAAUUUUUGUUGAAAAAUAUGACCCAACGAUAGAAGAUUCCUACAGAAAGCAAGUUGAAGUCAACUGCCAACAGUGUAUGCUUAAAAUCCUAGAUACUGCAGGCACAGGGCAAUUUACAGCAAUGAGGGAUUUGUAUAUGAAGAAUGGCCAAGGUUUUGCACUAGUAUAUUCAGUCCACGUUUGACUUACAGGACCUGAGGGAACAGAUUUUACUGGUUAAGGACACAGAAGAUGUUCCAAUGAUUUUGGUUGGCAAUAAAUGUGACCUGGAAGAUGAGUGAGUAGUUGGCAAAGAACAGGGCCAGAAUUUAGCAUGACAGUGAUGGAACUGUGCCAUUUUAGAAUAAUCUGCAAAGUCAAAGGUCAAUGUUAAUGAAAUAUUUUAUGACCU
RNAcentral lists this long non-coding RNA (451 nucleotides) under Homo sapiens (human). Its description in RNAcentral is "non-protein coding lnc-ISCA2-3:1". Lineage: Eukaryota; Metazoa; Chordata; Mammalia; Primates; Hominidae. The record is from RNAcentral.